RNAcentral lists this ribosomal RNA (466 nucleotides) under uncultured bacterium. RNAcentral's name for it is "partial 16S ribosomal RNA". It matches the Rfam family "Bacterial small subunit ribosomal RNA", at positions 28 to 507 of the family's 1533-position model. The record is from RNAcentral.
GAUGAACGCUGGCGGCGUGCUUAACACAUGCAAGUCGAACGAUUAAGCCCAGCUUGCUGGGUGGUUUAGUGGCGAACGGGUGAGUAACACGUGAGUAACCUGCCCUUAACUCUGGGAUAAGCUUGGGCAACUAGAUCUACUACCGGAAAUGCGCGACCACAGCAUGGUGGGUGUUGGAAUGAUUUAUCGGUAUUGGCUGGACUCGUGGCAUGUCAGCUUGUUGGUGAGGUAUUGGCUCACCAAGGCGACGACUGGUAGCCGGCCUGAGAGGGUGACCGUCCGUCCUGCGGCGGAUAAACGGCCCAGACUUCUACUGGAGGCAGCAGUCGUGAACAUUGCACAACAGGCGAAAGCCUGAUGCAGCGACGCCGCGUGAGGGAAGUCGGCCGUCGGGUGGUAAACCUCUAUCAGUAGGGAAGAAGCGAAAGUGACGGUACCUGCAGAAGAAGCACCGGCUAACUACGUG